Lycium barbarum (goji berry) is the source of this 1544-nucleotide long non-coding RNA. RefSeq lists it as uncharacterized. The transcript has 7 exons. The record is from RefSeq and is a predicted model, not a curated record. Lineage: Eukaryota; Viridiplantae; Streptophyta; Magnoliopsida; Solanales; Solanaceae.
GUUCUCUUCACCUUAAUACUGACUCUAGAAACAUCCAUCUUAUAUUAUCCAACAGAACAAAGGAGUACCUCUUUACGUUCUCUUCACCUUAAUACUCACUCUCUAGAAACAUCCAUCUUAUAUUAUCCAACAGAACAAAGGAGUACCUCUUUACGUUUUCUUCCUUUACUUUUGAGAACCUUUUAGCACUAUUCAUCUUCUUAUUGGAACGAUUUAAGAACUCUGGAAGCGAGGUUUGAUCUCUGUGUUUGAAGCUGCUUUUUAUCAGCUGGGUGGUUCCAUUUCAAUUAUGCUUUUCUUUCAGUUCUCUUUAGAGUUUCCAAUUGCACGGCUGAGUGUUAUUUGCUUUUGGUGUUAUUUUUUUAUUUCAUCGGAUUUUGAAGCUCAAAUUUGCUCGAAGAAAGCAGGAAAAAACAGGAAAUAAUCUGACUGAUAGAGGUGGGAUCCAAACCAUUUUGCAGAGACAUCCUAUCAGCUGCCAGGAGACAUGAGCAUUUUAUGCAAGGAAAACACAGAGUUGGACUCAUGGAACUUACAUCAAGUUUACCAAGUUUCCCAAACAAAGGCUGGAAAUAGCUUAUGUUACGAUGACUGCCAAAUCUAAGACUGUUUUUCCCUUAAUUUUAGCUAGGUGGACACACAAAUUCUGGGAAGAAUGUAGGCUACACCAAAGCAGGCAUGUUUUCACAAGUAAGGAGAGGAGGAGCUUAUAUCGUCGUCUUAUGGCCUUAUCUAUGAGAACAGAGUCAAUGGCAUCAAUCUCUUUACCUCUGCAUUAAGGAAGUUGUUUACAUCCAUAGCAAACUGGGCUGGAUAAGCUCCAGCUACAUCUUCCUGAUGAAAUGGAACAGAAUAUCCUUCCUUUGUUCCAUGCUGGAGAGUCCCUUGUUUUGUACUUGUUUUGGCACAUGGAAUAGCCAGCUGGGUGCAUAGAGGCAUGAAUGAUCUCGCUGGAGGAUUCAUGAAGUAGCUGGCCGCAAAAGGAAAGCUUUACAGAAGGUAGAGAAGCACAAAGGAUUCUGAGGCCAUUUAUGGCAAGUUCAUUUAUACAGAGUAUACUCUGUUCCUCAAAUGAGUUUAGUAUGAAAUGUUUAUAUAAUCAGCUUUAUGGUAUUGCUUCAAUUUUAGUAAUCAUGCUAAAAAUAUGUAUCAUCUUACGAUAUUGAAUAUUUCUUUCAGAAAUCUGUAGUUGUGCAAAUAACGGGAGCAACGUAUAGGGCACACGCUUGUGUUUGAUGGUGUAUGUGAAGAGCAAAAUUGUUGGAUUGAAAUAGUCUACUUUAGGUCAUGAAAGAGUUUCAUCUUGCAAGAGCCUACUUAGCCUACUUAUGUUCAACUGCCAGAAUUCAGAUUUCAGCCCAAUCUCAUACAGAUGUUGGAGCACGUAUAAUCUUUCUACUAUUGUCUUCCUAAGCAAGUUACCUAUGUAACUUUGUUCCACAAACUAUGUCUCUGUUUUGCCUUUUCUGCAACUACUCCUAUAACUUUAUUCCACAAAUGAAUGUAAUAUACUAUGAAGCAUGUCAUGUUAAUAUUUAGUUUAA